This is an RNA transcript of Homo sapiens (human), 2065 nucleotides long. It is a transcript of the gene named macroH2A.1 histone, with no coding region annotated. NCBI's taxonomy places the organism in Eukaryota, Metazoa, Chordata, Mammalia, Primates, Hominidae. The transcript is spliced from 10 exons. The record is from RefSeq and is marked reviewed.
CCAGUUCACUCGGCAGCGGCGCCGGGCGGAGGGGGAGAGCGCGGGCCGCGCGGGCGGGAAGCGAAGAGGCGGGCGGGCCAGCGAGGAGCGCGGAGAGAAAAGGCGCGAGCGGCCAGGAGGGCUCAGGCCGAGACACCUUGCAGCUGCCGCCGCCGCCACCGAGCCGCCGCUGUGCUCACUGAUCCGCCUCCAGGGCCACCGCCAUGUCGAGCCGCGGUGGGAAGAAGAAGUCCACCAAGACGUCCAGGUCUGCCAAAGCAGGAGUCAUCUUUCCCGUGGGGCGGAUGCUGCGGUACAUCAAGAAAGGCCACCCCAAGUACAGGAUUGGAGUGGGGGCACCCGUGUACAUGGCCGCCGUCCUGGAAUACCUGACAGCGGAGAUUCUGGAGCUGGCUGGCAAUGCAGCGAGAGACAACAAGAAGGGACGGGUCACACCCCGGCACAUCCUGCUGGCUGUGGCCAAUGAUGAAGAGCUGAAUCAGCUGCUAAAAGGAGUCACCAUAGCCAGUGGGGGUGUGUUACCCAACAUCCACCCCGAGUUGCUAGCGAAGAAGCGGGGAUCCAAAGGAAAGUUGGAAGCCAUCAUCACACCACCCCCAGCCAAAAAGGCCAAGUCUCCAUCCCAGAAGAAGCCUGUAUCUAAAAAAGCAGGAGGCAAGAAAGGGGCCCGGAAAUCCAAGAAGAAGCAGGGUGAAGUCAGUAAGGCAGCCAGCGCCGACAGCACAACCGAGGGCACACCUGCCGACGGCUUCACAGUCCUCUCCACCAAGAGCCUCUUCCUUGGCCAGAAGCUGAACCUUAUUCACAGUGAAAUCAGUAAUUUAGCCGGCUUUGAGGUGGAGGCCAUAAUCAAUCCUACCAAUGCUGACAUUGACCUUAAAGAUGACCUAGGAAACACGCUGGAGAAGAAAGGUGGCAAGGAGUUUGUGGAAGCUGUCCUGGAACUCCGGAAAAAGAACGGGCCCUUGGAAGUAGCUGGAGCUGCUGUCAGCGCAGGCCAUGGCCUGCCUGCCAAGUUUGUGAUCCACUGUAAUAGUCCAGUUUGGGGUGCAGACAAGUGUGAAGAACUUCUGGAAAAGACAGUGAAAAACUGCUUGGCCCUGGCUGAUGAUAAGAAGCUGAAAUCCAUUGCAUUUCCAUCCAUCGGCAGCGGCAGCCGUCAAUUGCAAGCUCGCAAUCUGUCUGCUCCAGAAAAAUCUCCCUGGACUCCCAGGAUACAGCCUCUCCUGCUGUGACUCUCUGAGGUCCCUAAUGAGCUCCUAGCCUGGAUUUGCUGCAUACCUGCCUGGCCCCAGCCCUGGAAGGAACGGUUUUCCAAAGCAGACAGCAGCUCAGCUGAUUCUGAAGGCCAUCUCCAGUUACUUCGUGUCUACAAUGUCCUCUUCCAUCAAAACGGUGUACUUCGUGCUUUUUGACAGCGAGAGUAUAGGCAUCUAUGUGCAGGAAAUGGCCAAGCUGGACGCCAACUAGGCUGAGCAAUGACAGAACCAGCUGCACCAUGUACCCCACCUUCAGUUUAAAAGAAAAAAAAAAUCCCCUUCACUCCUACUGGGAGGUGGGACCCCUUUCAUUUUCAGUUUUGCUCAUCUAGGGAAAAUAAGGCUUUGGUUUCCAGUUUAAUUGUUUUUGACCUUCUAAAAUGUUUUUAUGUUAGCACUGAUAGUUGGCAUUACUGUUGUUAAGCACUGUGUUCCAGACCGUGUCUGACUUAGUGUAACCUAGGAGAUUUUAUAGUUUUAUUUUAAUGAAACCCUGAUUGACGCACAGCAGUGGGGAGAACAGCGUCUUUUACCUGUCACCGAAGCCAGGAAGCCCCGUUUGUAAGCGUGUGUUGUGGUGCUUUAUUGUACAUCCUCCAGUGGCGUUCUUUUUACUCUAAUGUUCUUUUGGUUUCCCCCCUCAGAAGAAUCAUGAAUUUGCAACAGACCUAAUUUUUGGUUACUUUUUGUCUUAUUGAUGGAUUUGAAAAUGAAAGAUUUAAUAAGGCAAAGCAGAAUCUGUUGUCCUUAAUUAUAUUUGCAAUUUGGAAUUUGUGUGAGUUGAUUUAGUAAAAUGUUAAACCGUU